AAAUAUACUUCAAUAAAGUUUUUUAGAUAUCAUAUGUUGUGUUUGUAUGUUUGUGUGGCUUUGUUUUUUUACAACACAUAUAUUGAAAAACCCAACCUUAGAAGUUUGGCAUACGUGAUGUAAUAAUUUAUUAUAAUUAGUUUUCAAAGGUACCAGGAUUAUAAUUUAGUACGUCAUACGCGCGUUUCGUCUACAUUAGACUCAUCAGUGACGCUCAUAUCAAAAUAUUUAUAAAGCCAAACACGUACAAAGUUGAAGAGCAGUGAGGAUCCAAAAUUCCAAAAAGUUGUGCCAAAUAACACAUUUAACAUUAAAUUUAAGUAUUAAAAGUGUAAAUUAAGUGAUUUUGUAUUAAAAAUGUACUAUUGACUGAAGCACGUCAUUAUUUUGCUCUCUGUGAGGCUCUGACAUUCCUUAAUGUUCUGUACAGCUUUUGACUAUGUUACAUAGUAACCGUUGUUAUGAUAACGUUUUUGAGGUUCAAAUUAGGGAUACAAAUGUUGUAUAUACCCUAGCAGUUUUCUAAAUAUAUACUGACAAUUCUGUGUUGUUAUCCAAUCACAAACCUCGACACAUUUGUAAUCCGUAAUAUACUUUAAUAAAUAUGUUAGAACAAAUAUACUACACAAUGUAAUUAAGCUUUUCUGCUUAUUUUGAAAAUGUACCUACAUUAUUUAUGUCACUAAUAUUUCUGACAGCUUGUUUCUAUACUUGAAUUAUGAGCUGAUAUAUGAUAUAUUUACAAAUAUAUAGUGUGUAUGUAUAUAUAGUUUACAGGUCUAUCUAAAUAAAAUUGCAAUCAUGUAUACUAUGUAUAUAUAUAUAUACAAACAACAUUUACUUUAUUUUUUAAUGACUGGCUAUACAUUGGACUUUCUUAUUUUUAUUGAAACUUUUUUACUCUUAUUUUCCUAUUCAUCUGUAAAAGUGGAAGAAAUCAAAUUUGUUAUCAAUACACUCAAGUGAACAUGGUGUAUUUAUUGACUUUUGAGAAACUGUUUCAAUUAACAAAACGAGAAAAGAUGUUAUCUGAUGACACAAUUGAUGA
RNAcentral lists this long non-coding RNA (1048 nucleotides) under Mytilus galloprovincialis (Mediterranean mussel). The record is from RNAcentral. Lineage: Eukaryota; Metazoa; Mollusca; Bivalvia; Mytilida; Mytilidae.